AUUCCCCUAGUAACUGCGAGUGAAGCGGGAAAAGCUCAAAUUUAAAAUCUGGCGGUUAACUCCCGUCCGAGUUGUAAUCUGAAGAAGCAUUUUCGAUGCCAGCCCGUGUACAAGUCUCUUGGAACAGAGCGUCAUAGAGGGUGAGAAUCCCGUCCAUGGCACGGACAUAGCUGGUGUCAUAUGAUAUGCUUUUCAAAGAGUCGAGUUGUUUGGGAAUGCAGCUCAAAAUGGGUGGUAAAUUCCAUCUAAAGCUAAAUAUAGGCAAGAAACCGAUAGCGAACAAGUACCGUGAGGGAAAGAUGAAAAGCACUUUGAAAAGAGAGUUAAACAGUACGUGAAAUUGUUGAAAGGGAAACGCUUGAAGUCAGUCACAUUGGCCGGGACUCAGCCGCGACUUUGGUCUCGGUGUACUUCCUGGUUGAUGGGUCAAUAUCAAUUUUGGUCGACGGAUAAAUUCGGCUUGAAUGUAGCACCCUUUUGGGUGUGUUAUAGCUUGUCGUCUGAUACGCCGACUGGGAUUGAGGAUCGCAGCAUGCCCUUGUGGCCGGGGUUCGCCCACGUAUUGUGCUUAGGAUAUUGACAUAAUGACUUUAAUCGACCCGUCUUGAAACACGGACCAAGGAGUCUAACAUGCCUGCGAGUAUUAGGGUGAMUAAACCCUUGUGCGCAAUGAAAGUGACAGUUGGGACCCUCUCACGAGGGGCACCGACGCCCGGCCUUGAUCUUCUGUGACGGUGCCGCGGUAGAGCAUGUAUGUUGGGACCCGAAAGAUGGUGAACUAUGCCUGAAUAGGGCGAAGCCAGAGGAAACUCUGGUGGAGGCUCGUAGCGAUUCUGACGUGCAAAUCGAUCGUCAAAUUUGGG
RNAcentral lists this ribosomal RNA (863 nucleotides) under Loreleia marchantiae. Its description in RNAcentral is "LSU rRNA". It matches the Rfam family "Eukaryotic large subunit ribosomal RNA", at positions 74 to 915 of the family's 3401-position model. Lineage: Eukaryota; Fungi; Basidiomycota; Agaricomycetes; Hymenochaetales. The record is from RNAcentral.